UACGGAAGGUGCAAGCGUUGUUCGGAGUGACUGGGCGUAAAGGGCGCGUAGGCUGGAUGGUAAGAAGAUUGUGAAAACCCCGGGCUUAACCUGGGACGUGCAGUUUUGACUGCCAUUCUUGAAUGUCCGAGAGGUUAGUGGAAUUGCAGGUGUAGGAGUGAAAUCCGUAGAUAUCUGCAGGAACAUCGGAGGCGAAGGCGGCUAACUGGUGGAACAUUGACGCUGAGGCGCGAAAGCACGGGUAGCAAACAGG
RNAcentral lists this ribosomal RNA (253 nucleotides) under uncultured bacterium. Its description in RNAcentral is "partial 16S ribosomal RNA". It matches the Rfam family "Bacterial small subunit ribosomal RNA", at positions 524 to 776 of the family's 1533-position model. The record is from RNAcentral.